GGAGGGUGCAAGCGUUAUCCGGAUUCACUGGGUUUAAAGGGUGCGUAGGCGGGCAGGUAAGUCAGUGGUGAAAUCCCCGAGCUUAACUCGGGAACUGCCAUUGAUACUAUCUGUCUUGAAUAUUGUGGAGGUAAGCGGAAUAUGUCAUGUAGCGGUGAAAUGCUUAGAUAUGACAUAGAACACCUAUUGCGAAGGCAGCUUACUACGCAUAUAUUGACGCUGAGGCACGAAAGCGUGGGGAUCAAACAGGAUUAGAUACCCUGGUAGUCCAUGCCCUAAACGAUGAUUACUCGACAUUAGCGAUACACAGUUAGUGUCUGAGCGAAAGCAUUAAGUAAUCCACCUGGGAAGUACGACCGCAAGGUUG
This 367-nucleotide ribosomal RNA is filed under the name uncultured organism. RNAcentral's name for it is "bacterial SSU rRNA". It matches the Rfam family "Bacterial small subunit ribosomal RNA", at positions 527 to 896 of the family's 1533-position model. The record is from RNAcentral.